RNAcentral lists this ribosomal RNA (459 nucleotides) under uncultured bacterium. RNAcentral's name for it is "partial 16S ribosomal RNA". It matches the Rfam family "Bacterial small subunit ribosomal RNA", at positions 338 to 795 of the family's 1533-position model. The record is from RNAcentral.
CCUACGGGAGGCAGCAGUGAGGAAUAUUGGUCAAUGGCCGGAAGGCUGAACCAGCCAAGCCGCGUGAAGGACGAAGGUGCCACGCAUUGUAAACUUCUUUUGUCAAGGGACAAAAUCAGGCUCGAGAGCCUGACCGAGGGUACUUUAAGAAAAAGCAUCGGCUAACUCCGUGCCAGCAGCCGCGGUAAUACGGAGGAUGCGAGCGUUAUCCGGAUUUAUUGGGUUUAAAGGGUGCGUAGGCGGACUGUUAAGUCAGCGGUAAAAGCCCGGGGCUCAACCCCGGCGAGCCGUUGAAACUGUGGCCCUUGAGUGCGCGAAGGGUAGGCGGAAUGCGUGGUGUAGCGGUGAAAUGCAUAGAUAUCACGCAGAACUCCGAUCGCGAAGGCAGCCUACCGGCGCGCAACUGACGCUCAUGCACGAAAGCGUGGGUAUCGAACAGGAUUAGAUACCCCUGUAGUC